Long non-coding RNA from Apis florea (little honeybee), 138 nucleotides. Lineage: Eukaryota; Metazoa; Arthropoda; Insecta; Hymenoptera; Apidae. The record is from RefSeq and is a predicted model, not a curated record.
AAAAUACUUAUAACUCCUUAAUUAAGCCUUAUUGAAUAUAUGAACUUUUUUUAUCGUUUUGAUAUCUAGAAUCUACCCUUCAAAGGUGUUCCAUAUUUUUAUAAACAUUCUGUAUAUUUAUUCCGGCAAAUAUCGACU